UCAUGGCUCAGAUUGAACGCUGGCGGCAUGCCUUACACAUGCAAGUCGAACGGCAGCACGGGAGCUUGCUCCUGGUGGCGAGUGGCGAACGGGUGAGUAAUAUAUCGGAACGUGCCCUAGAGUGGGGGAUAACUAGUCGAAAGAUUAGCUAAUACCGCAUACGAUCUAUGGAUGAAAGUGGGGGAUCGCAAGACCUCAUGCUCCUGGAGCGGCCGAUAUCUGAUUAGCUAGUUGGUGAGGUAAAGGCUCACCAAGGCGACGAUCAGUAGCUGGUCUGAGAGGACGACCAGCCACACUGGAACUGAGACACGGUCCAGACUCCUACGGGAGGCAGCAGUGGGGAAUUUUGGACAAUGGGCGCAAGCCUGAUCCAGCAAUGCCGCGUGAGUGAAGAAGGCCUUCGGGUUGUAAAGCUCUUUUGUCAGGGAAGAAACGGUUGUGGCUAAUAUCCAUGACUAAUGACGGUACCUGAAGAAUAAGCACCGGCUAACUACGUGCCAGCAGCCGCGGUAAUACGUAGGGUGCAAGCGUUAAUCGGAAUUACUGGGCGUAAAGCGUGCGCAGGCGGUUGUGCAAGACAGAUGUGAAAUCCCCGGGCUUAACCUGGGAAUUGCAUUUGUGACUGCACGGCUAGAGUGUGUCAGAGGGGGGUAGAAUUCCACGUGUAGCAGUGAAAUGCGUAGAUAUGUGGAGGAAUACCGAUGGCGAAGGCAGCCCCCUGGGAUAACACUGACGCUCAUGCACGAAAGCGUGGGGAGCAAACAGGAUUAGAUACCCUGGUAGUCCACGCCCUAAACGAUGUCUACUAGUUGUCGGGUCUUAAUUGACUUGGUAACGCAGCUAACGCGUGAAGUAGACCGCCUGGGGAGUACGGUCGCAAGAUUAAAACUCAAAGGAAUUGACGGGGACCCGCACAAGCGGUGGAUGAUGUGGAUUAAUUCGAUGCAACGCGAAAAACCUUACCUACCCUUGACAUGUACGGAAUCCUGAAGAGAUUUGGGAGUGCUCGAAAGAGAGCCGUAACACAGGUGCUGCAUGGCUGUCGUCAGCUCGUGUCGUGAGAUGUUGGGUUAAGUCCCGCAACGAGCGCAACCCUUGUCAUUAGUUGCUACGAAAGGGCACUCUAAUGAGACUGCCGGUGACAAACCGGAGGAAGGUGGGGAUGACGUCAAGUCCUCAUGGCCCUUAUGGGUAGGGCUUCACACGUCAUACAAUGGUACAUACAGAGGGCCGCCAACCCGCGAGGGGGAGCUAAUCCCAGAAAGUGUAUCGUAGUCCGGAUUGGAGUCUGCAACUCGACUCCAUGAAGUUGGAAUCGCUAGUAAUCGCGGAUCAGCAUGUCGCGGUGAAUACGUUCCCGGGUCUUGUACACACCGCCCGUCACACCAUGGGAGCGGGUUCUGCCAGAAGUAGUUAGCCUAAC
Molecule: ribosomal RNA, 1423 nt
Filed under: Herbaspirillum sp.
Lineage: Bacteria; Pseudomonadati; Pseudomonadota; Betaproteobacteria; Burkholderiales; Oxalobacteraceae
Description: bacterial SSU rRNA
Rfam family: Bacterial small subunit ribosomal RNA
Source: RNAcentral